ACGCUCACACCUACGGGGGCAGCAGUUAGGAAUAUUGGGCAAUGGAGGGAACUCUGACCCAGCAACGCCGCGUGAAGGAAGAAGGUUUUCGGACUGUAAACUUCUGAUCUAAGGGAAAAAGAAAGUGAUGGUACCUUAGGAGAAAGCCACGGCUAACUACGUGCCAGCAGCCGGCGGUAAUCUGAGGCGGGCUGGCAAGGC
This 201-nucleotide ribosomal RNA is filed under the name uncultured bacterium. Its description in RNAcentral is "partial 16S ribosomal RNA". It matches the Rfam family "Bacterial small subunit ribosomal RNA", at positions 329 to 539 of the family's 1533-position model. The record is from RNAcentral.